This 253-nucleotide ribosomal RNA is filed under the name uncultured bacterium. RNAcentral's name for it is "partial 16S ribosomal RNA". It matches the Rfam family "Bacterial small subunit ribosomal RNA", at positions 524 to 776 of the family's 1533-position model. The record is from RNAcentral. RNAcentral also lists the same sequence under 1 other name.
UACGUAGGGUGCGAGCGUUAAUCGGAAUUACUGGGCGUAAAGCGUGCGCAGGCGGUUUUUCAAGUCUGAUGUGAAAUCCCCGGGCUUAACCUGGGAACUGCGUUGGAAACUGAAAGACUAGAGUGCGGCAGAGGGGGGUAGAAUUCCACGUGUAGCAGUGAAAUGCGUAGAUAUGUGGAGGAAUACCGAUGGCGAAGGCAGCCCCCUGGGUCGACACUGACGCUCAUGCACGAAAGCGUGGGUAGCAAACAGG